GACGAACGCUGGCGGCGUGCUUAACACAUGCAAGUCGAGCGGAAAGGCCCUUUCGGGGGUACUCGAGCGGCGAACGGGUGAGUAACACGUGAGUAAUCUGCCCUUGGCUUUGGGAUAACCACCGGAAACGGUGGCUAAUACCGGAUAUGACGCGCCCCGGCCUCGGGGUGUGUGGAAAGUUUUUUCGGCCCGGGAUGUGCUCGCGGCCUAUCAGCUUGUUGGUGGGGUAAUGGCCUACCAAGGCUUCGACGGGUAGCCGGCCUGAGAGGGUGACCGGCCAUACUGGGACUGAGACACGGCCCAGACUCCUACGGGAGGCAGCAGUGGGGAAUAUUGGACAAUGGGCGGAAGCCUGAUCCAGCAACGCCGCGUGAGGGAUGACGGCCUUCGGGUUGUAAACCUCUUUCAGUACCGACGAAGCGCCGAUGAUGGUGGUGACGGUAGGUACAGAAGAAGCACCGGCCAACUACGUGCCAGCCGCCGCAGUAA
RNAcentral lists this ribosomal RNA (489 nucleotides) under uncultured bacterium. RNAcentral describes it as "partial 16S ribosomal RNA". It matches the Rfam family "Bacterial small subunit ribosomal RNA", at positions 28 to 523 of the family's 1533-position model. The record is from RNAcentral.